AGUGAACGCUGGCGGUAGGCCUAACACAUGCAAGUCGAACGGCAGCACAGUAAGAGCUUGCUCUUACGGGUGGCGAGUGGCGGACGGGUGAGGAAUACAUCGGAAUCUACUUUUUCGUGGGGGAUAACGUAGGGAAACUUACGCUAAUACCGCAUACGACCUACGGGUGAAAGCAGGGGAUCUUCGGACCUUGCGCGAUUGAAUGAGCCGAUGUGGGAUUAGCUAGUUGGCGGGGUAAAGGCCCACCAAGGCGACGAUCCGUAGCUGGUCUGAGAGGAUGAUCAGCCACACUGGAACUGAGACGGGGUCCAGACUCCUACGGGAGGCAGCAGUGGGGAAUAUUGGACAAUGGUCGCAAGCCUGAUCCAGCCAUACCGCGUGGGUGAAGAAGGCCUUCGGGUUGUAAAGCCCUUUUGUUGGGAAAGAAAAGCAGCAGGUUAAUACCCCGCUGUUCUGACGGUACCCAAAGAAUAAGCACCGGCUAACUUCGUG
Molecule: ribosomal RNA, 492 nt
Filed under: uncultured bacterium
Lineage: Bacteria
Description: partial 16S ribosomal RNA
Rfam family: Bacterial small subunit ribosomal RNA
Source: RNAcentral